UACGUAGGCAGCAAGCGUUGUUCGGAGUUACUGGGCGUAAAGAGUAUGUAGGCGGUUGGGUAAGUUUGGUGUGAAAUCUCCCGGCUUAACUGGGAGGGUGCGCUAAAGACUGCCUGGCUCGAGUGUGGGAGAGGAAAGCGGAAUUCCUGGUGUAGCGGUGAAAUGCGUAGAUAUCAGGAGGAACACCUGCGGUGUAGACGGCUUUCUGGACCAUAGCUGACGCUGAGAUACGAAAGCGUGGGUAGCAAACAGG
Molecule: ribosomal RNA, 253 nt
Filed under: uncultured bacterium
Lineage: Bacteria
Description: partial 16S ribosomal RNA
Rfam family: Bacterial small subunit ribosomal RNA
Source: RNAcentral